This 467-nucleotide ribosomal RNA is filed under the name uncultured bacterium. RNAcentral's name for it is "bacterial SSU rRNA". It matches the Rfam family "Bacterial small subunit ribosomal RNA", at positions 28 to 524 of the family's 1533-position model. The record is from RNAcentral.
GACGAACGCUGGCGGCAUGCCUAACACAUGCAAGUCUAGGGGUAGCAAUACCACUGGCGCACGGGUGAGUAACACGUAGGUUAUCUGCCCCCAUCACAGACAUAACCCCGGGAAACCGGGGCUAAUAUCUGAUGAGGUCGCGAGAUCAAAGCUUCGGCGGAUGGGGAUGAGCCUGCGGCUGAUUAGCUAGUUGGUGAGGUAAUGGCUCACCAAGGCGACGAUCAGUAGCUGGUCUGAGAGGACGAACAGCCACACUGGAACUGAGACACGGUCCAGACUCCUACGGGAGGCAGCAGUGAGGAAUAUUGGUCAAUGGGAGCAAUCCUGAACCAGCAAUGCCGCGUGUGGGAUGACAGGGCUUCGCCUUGUAAACCACUGUCGGACGGGACGAAAGGAGGCCUCGGGCCUCUGGGACGGUACCGUCAAAGGAAGGGUCGGCGUAACUACGUGCCAGCAGCCGCGGUAAU